GACGAACGCUGGCGGCGUGCUUAACACAUGCAAGUCGAUCGGAAAGGCCUCUUUCGGGGGGUACUCGAGUGGCGAACGGGUGAGUAACACGUGAGUAACCUGCCCUUGACUUUGGGAUAACUUCAGGAAACUGGGGCUAAUACCGGAUAGGAGCUCCUGCUGCAUGGUGGGGGUUGGAAAGUUUCGGCGGUUGGGGAUGGACUCGCGGCUUAUCAGCUUGUUGGUGGGGUAGUGGCUUACCAAGGCUUUGACGGGUAGCCGGCCUGAGAGGGUGACCGGCCACAUUGGGACUGAGAUACGGCCCAGACUCCUACGGGAGGCAGCAGUGGGGAAUAUUGCACAAUGGGUGGAAGCCUGAUGCAGCAACGCCGUGUGCGGGAUGACGGCCUUCGGGUUGUAAACCGCUUUCGCUCAUGACGAAGCUUUGUGUGACGGUAGUGGGUAAAGAAGCACCGGCUAACUACGUG
Molecule: ribosomal RNA, 467 nt
Filed under: uncultured bacterium
Lineage: Bacteria
Description: partial 16S ribosomal RNA
Rfam family: Bacterial small subunit ribosomal RNA
Source: RNAcentral